This 429-nucleotide ribosomal RNA is filed under the name Pseudomonadota bacterium. RNAcentral's name for it is "Proteobacteria bacterium partial 16S ribosomal RNA". It matches the Rfam family "Bacterial small subunit ribosomal RNA", at positions 355 to 776 of the family's 1533-position model. The record is from RNAcentral. Lineage: Bacteria; Pseudomonadati; Pseudomonadota.
UGGGGAAUAUUGGACAAUGGGCGAAAGCCUGAUCCAGCCAUGCCGCGUGUGUGAAGAAGGUCUUCGGAUUGUAAAGCACUUUAAGUUGGGAGGAAGGGCAGUAAGCGAAUACCUUGCUGUUUUGACGUUACCGACAGAAUAAGCACCGGCUAACUCUGUGCCAGCAGCCGCGGUAAUACAGAGGGUGCAAGCGUUAAUCGGAAUUACUGGGCGUAAAGCGCGCGUAGGUGGUUCGUUAAGUUGAAUGUGAAAGCCCCGGGCUCAACCUGGGAACUGCAUCCAUAACUGGCGAGCGAGAGUAGGGCAGAGGGUGGUGGAAUUUCCUGUGUAGCGGUGAAAUGCGUAGAUAUAGGAAGGAACACCAGUGGCGAAGGCGACCACCUGGGCUCAUACUGACACUGAGGUGCGAAAGCGUGGGGAGCAAACAGG